Molecule: ribosomal RNA, 568 nt
Filed under: uncultured bacterium
Lineage: Bacteria
Description: bacterial SSU rRNA
Rfam family: Bacterial small subunit ribosomal RNA
Source: RNAcentral
ACGAUGCGUAGGGGUUCUGAGAGGAAGGUCCCCCACACUGGUACUGAGACACGGACCAGACUCCUACGGGAGGCAGCAGUGAGGAAUAUUGGUCAAUGGGCGGGAGCCUGAACCAGCCAAGUCGCGUGAGGGAAGACGGUCCUAUGGAUUGUAAACCUCUUUUGCCGGGGAGCAACGGGGUCCUUGCGAGGGCCUGAUGAGAGUACCCGGAGAAAAAGCAUCGGCUAACUCCGUGCCAGCAGCCGCGGUAAUACGGAGGAUGCGAGCGUUAUCCGGAUUUAUUGGGUUUAAAGGGUGCGUAGGCGGGCUGUUAAGUCAGCGGUCAAAUGUCGGGGCUCAACCCCGGCCUGCCGUUGAAACUGGUGGCCUCGAGUGGGCGAGAAGUAUGCGGAAUGCGUGGUGUAGCGGUGAAAUGCAUAGAUAUCACGCAGAACUCCGAUUGCGAAGGCAGCAUACCGGCGCCCGACUGACGCUGAGGCACGAAAGCGUGGGUAUCGAACAGGAUUAGAUACCCUGGUAGUCCACGCAGUAAACGAUGAAUGCUAGCUGUCCGGGGCUUCGGUCCUGG